AUACGGAGGAUCCGAGCGUUAUCCGGAUUUAUUGGGUUUAAAGGGAGCGUAGGCGGACGCUUAAGUCAGUUGUGAAAGUUUGCGGCUCAACCGUAAAAUUGCAGUUGAUACUGGGUGUCUUGAGUACAGUAGAGGCAGGCGGAAUUCGUGGUGUAGCGGUGAAAUGCUUAGAUAUCACGAAGAACUCCGAUUGCGAAGGCAGCCUGCUGGACUGUAACUGACGCUGAUGCUCGAAAGUGUGGGUAUCAAACAGGAUUAGAUACCCUGGUAGUCCACACAGUAAACGAUGAAUACUCGCUGUUUGCGAUAUACAGUAUGCGGCCAAGCGAAAGCGUUAAGUAUUCCACCUGGGGAGUACGCCGGCAACGGUGAAACUCAAAGGAAUUGGCGGGG
This 393-nucleotide ribosomal RNA is filed under the name uncultured bacterium. Its description in RNAcentral is "partial 16S ribosomal RNA". It matches the Rfam family "Bacterial small subunit ribosomal RNA", at positions 523 to 918 of the family's 1533-position model. The record is from RNAcentral.